Molecule: non-coding RNA, 220 nt
Organism: Podarcis lilfordi (Lilford's wall lizard)
Lineage: Eukaryota; Metazoa; Chordata; Lepidosauria; Squamata; Lacertidae
Source: the annotation of a GenBank genome assembly
GUUCCCAGUCAGCAAACAUAAUAUUAUGUCCAACAUCUUGUGCCCAUUUAAUCAUAGCAGAUUUCACCGUUUCAUCCUGAGUAUUCUAUUUCAACAGCACGUUAUACAUCUUUGACAAAAUUUUUGUUUUGGGUUCUAACAAUUCUGUUUCUAAUUUUGAUUUUUCCACCUGGAAGCCGAUUUUCUUGUCCAAAUUGUAUGCCUCCAUUAUCUGAUAAUA